Molecule: ribosomal RNA, 372 nt
Filed under: uncultured bacterium
Lineage: Bacteria
Description: bacterial SSU rRNA
Rfam family: Bacterial small subunit ribosomal RNA
Source: RNAcentral
GGGGGGGACGAGCGUUGUUCGGAUUUACUGGGCGUAAAGGGCGCGUAGGCGGACUGUCAAGUCGGAAGUGAAAACCGGAGGCUUAACCUCAGGCUUGCUUUCGAUACUGUCAGUCUUGAGUACAGGAGAGGAAAGCGGAAUUCCAGGUGUAGCGGUGAAAUGCGUAGAUAUCUGGAAGAACACCAGUAGCGAAGGCGGCUUUCUGGUCUGAUACUGACGCUAAAGCGCGAAGGCUAGGGGAGCAAACAGGAUUAGAUACCCUGGUAGUCCUAGCGGUAAACGAUGGGGUACUAGGUGUCGGGGGUAUCGACCCCCUCGGUGCCGAAGUUAACGCAUUAAGUACCCCGCCUGGGGAGUACGACCGCAAGGUUG